AGAGUUUGAUCCUGGCUCAGGACGAACGCUGGCGGCGUGCUUAACACAUGCAAGUCGAACGGAAAGGCCCUUCGGGGUGCUCGAGUGGCGAACGGGUGAGUAACACGUGGGUGAUCUGCCCUGCACUUUGGGAUAAGCCUGGGAAACUGGGUCUAAUACCGAAUAGGACUGCGCUCUUCAUGGGGUGUGGUGGAAAGCUUUUGCGGUGUGGGAUGGGCCCGCGGCCUAUCAGCUUGUUGGUGGGGUAAUGGCCUACCAAGGCGACGACGGGUAGCCGGCCUGAGAGGGUGACCGGCCACACUGGGACUGAGAUACGGCCCAGACUCCUACGGGAGGCAGCAGUGGGGAAUAUUGCACAAUGGGCGCAAGCCUGAUGCAGCGACGCCGCGUGAGGGAUGACGGCCUUCGGGUUGUAAACCUCUUUCAGCACAGACGAAGCGCGAGUGACGGUAUGUGCAGAAGAAGGACCGGCCAACUACGUGCCAGCAGCCGCGGUAAUACGUAGGGUCCGAGCGUUGUCCGGAAUUACUGGGCGUAAAGAGCUCGUAGGUGGUUUGUCGCGUUGUUCGUGAAAACUCACAGCUUAACUGUGGGCGUGCGGGCGACACGGGCAGACUGGAGUACUGCAGGGGAGACUGGAAUUCCUGGUGUAGCGGUGGAAUGCGCAGAUAUCAGGAGGAACACCGGUGGCGAAGGCGGGUCUCUGGGCAGUAACUGACGCUGAGGAGCGAAAGCGUGGGGAGCGAACAGGAUUAGAUACCCUGGUAGUCC
Molecule: ribosomal RNA, 771 nt
Filed under: uncultured bacterium
Lineage: Bacteria
Description: bacterial SSU rRNA
Rfam family: Bacterial small subunit ribosomal RNA
Source: RNAcentral